RNAcentral lists this long non-coding RNA (699 nucleotides) under Vulpes vulpes (red fox). RNAcentral describes it as "lncRNA (ENSVVUG00000022332.1)". The record is from RNAcentral. Lineage: Eukaryota; Metazoa; Chordata; Mammalia; Carnivora; Canidae.
GAAACACUUGCUUCCCAUUGAGGACAUGUCAGAUCCCCACAUCGCCCCAAAUCGCCCACUGGAUAAGCAAAGCUGGUUGAGCUGUGCUCAGCAAGCAAGCGGGUGCGGGGGAGACAGACAGCGUAGCAUCGGGGGUCCUGGUCCUGCCCGGAGCCUGGGCGAUCUGCUUAGGAGAUGCCGGGACAUCAGGAAGCCUGACUCUUCUUACAACCUUUCCUGCAACAAUUGUGAUUAUCCUGCCACCAAAGAGAAGAGGAAGCUAGUUUUAAUGGCCAAUAAGGGACAACGUUGGUGUUACCUGUCCUGGCUUGGGAAAAGGCUGGCCCUCUCCAAUCCUGACAGCCUGCGUGGCCCAAUGCUGGCCACCACCCGGCCGUGGGUUACCCACUCGGCUCGCUUUUCAAGUCUGCCUAUCGGAAAGUGGGUAGAAAUUUCUCUGCUUCUUGCUGCCCUCGUCUGAAAAACCCUGCUCCCGUGUUGGGGUCUCAGGAUUAUAGCAAAUGAUUAAAAAGAAUGUGAGGAUGGAUGAGUGGAUAGUAGAUGAGUAAAUGGAUGGAUAAAUGCGUAGAUGGACCAAUGAGUGAAUGGAUGGAUGAUGAUGAAUGGAUGAAUGGAUGGAUAAAUGGAUAGAUGGAUGAAUAGAUGAAUGGAUUAGAGGAUGGCUGAGUAGAUGGAUGAAUAAUUGGUAAGUAAAUAUAU